GGAAGUGGACUCGUUUUCCACCGGAAGGAGGGAGAAAUUGCGACCGAGAGCCUGACACCUGAUGCUGGCGGCUUUUGUCUCGCGAAUUUGGGCCAGAAUUUGUCCACGUUGGGCGGCGGGUGACUAUGGAGUAAGUGUCUGACGUGGCAGGCGUCCCAGGAAUGGGAUAAGAGAUGGGCAUCUGUAUCACCUGAAAGCAGAGAGCAGUUGUUUCCUUGCUCGGAUCAUUCAGAGUGCGCAGCCACCACCAUGCCUUAGAUGUGUGUAAUUCAAGUGGAGAAGACAUAAGCCAGUGGCGGCAAUAUCCACACGUGAGUGUAAACGAUUUAUUAUCAGAGGUUGCAGCUAUACAUGGCCAUGAGGUAAACCCUGCCCCUGGUUGAAUUUAGUUUCAUCAGCUUCUACAUGGGAUUGUAAAGACUUGGAAUAUAUUACAAAAACCAGCAGGUUCCCCCCCCCCCUUUUUUAAGAUUUAUUUUCUUCAUGAAGAUAACAUGCUUGAACAAAGUUCUUUAUGGUGAGUAACUGUGAUGCUUGAAGUUGGUUAUCCACUAAUUCUAGUAAAUUUUAGAUGUCAAAUUUUAGAUAUAGAUACCUUGUUAAAUAAUAAAAAAAUAUCAAACUUU
Molecule: long non-coding RNA, 626 nt
Organism: Apodemus sylvaticus (European woodmouse)
Lineage: Eukaryota; Metazoa; Chordata; Mammalia; Rodentia; Muridae
Exons: 3
Source: RefSeq, a predicted model, not a curated record